CAGGAAAUAGGCUGAGGAUCCCACCGGCCACACUGCAGAACACCUCUAACUACAAGAGAAGGUAUUCAACAGUUUCAACAUCUGUUGUAGAAGAUGAAGAACUGCUGUGAACAGUAACUUCUGAGACACCAUAAUCAAGACAAAGUAGGCCACAAAUGUGAAAGUUACAGUCCUGCAAAAAUGGAUAAAACCCAUCCCUGUGACCAGUGUGGGAAGGCUUUCACCAUAGAG
Molecule: long non-coding RNA, 231 nt
Filed under: Sphaeramia orbicularis (orbiculate cardinalfish)
Lineage: Eukaryota; Metazoa; Chordata; Actinopteri; Kurtiformes; Apogonidae
Description: lncRNA (ENSSORG00005007148.1)
Source: RNAcentral